RNAcentral lists this unclassified non-coding RNA (181 nucleotides) under Scolecobasidium mirabile. Its description in RNAcentral is "Ochroconis mirabilis sequence contains ITS2". Lineage: Eukaryota; Fungi; Ascomycota; Dothideomycetes; Venturiales; Sympoventuriaceae. The record is from RNAcentral.
CAAACUCCAAGCGUGGCUUGAUGUUGGGCGAUGUCUUUUUGCGAGAGCGGAGACACGUCUGGAACGCGUUGGCGCCGCCGCCGGACCACGAGCGUAGCAAGACGAGAGUCAAUCGCAUCGAUUUGGUUUCCGACGGAGGUCCGCCUCUGGAUUGGACUUGUCCAUUCCUACAACUUCUCAA